This 283-nucleotide ribosomal RNA is filed under the name uncultured bacterium. RNAcentral describes it as "partial 16S ribosomal RNA". It matches the Rfam family "Bacterial small subunit ribosomal RNA", at positions 235 to 507 of the family's 1533-position model. The record is from RNAcentral.
GUAGGAUUAGCUAGUUGGUAGGGUAAAGGCCUACCAAGGCGACGAUCGUUAGCUGGUCUGANAGGAUGGCCAGCCACACUGGAACCUUGAGACACGGUCCCAGACUCCUACGGGAGGCAGCAGUGGGGAAUAUUGGACAAUGGGGGCAACCCUGAUCCAGCAAUGCCGCGUGUGUGAAGAAGGCCUGAGGGUUGUAAAGCACUUUCAGUGGGGAGGAGGGUACUUAGGUUAAGAGCUAGAGUAUUGGACGUUACCCACAGAAGAAGCACCGGCUAACUCCGUG